Molecule: ribosomal RNA, 389 nt
Filed under: uncultured bacterium
Lineage: Bacteria
Description: bacterial SSU rRNA
Rfam family: Bacterial small subunit ribosomal RNA
Source: RNAcentral
GACGAACGCUGGCGGCGUGCUUAACACAUGCAAGUCGAGCGGUAAGGCCCUUUCGGGGGUACACGAGCGGCGAACGGGUGAGUAACACGUGGGUGACCUGCCCUCAGCUCUGGGAUAAGCCUGGGAAACCGGGUCUAAUACUGGAUAUGACUCCAUGACGCAUGUUGUGGGGUGGAAAGCCUUGUGCGGCUGAGGAUGGGCCCGCGGCCUAUCAGCUUGUUGGUGGGGGUGANGGCCUACCAAGGCGACGACGGGUAGCCGGCCUGAGAGGGCGACCGGCCACACUGGGACUGAGACACGGCCCAGACUCCUACGGGAGGCAGCAGGUGGGGAAUCUUGCGCAAUGGGCAAAAGCCUGACGCAGCGACGCCGCGUGAGGGAUGACGGCC